UAUUUUUAAAGAUUGAUUGAAGGUCGGGUUACCAUCUAUUGAGGAUCAAGGAGGAGAAUAUUUCGGUUACUCUUGGAAAAUUGUGUAAUUGUAUUGUAUUGAUUAUAUUAUUUGAGAGUAGGAGGAGGAAAUAAAGAAAUCAUAAUCCUCAUCUUUUCAUCGAUUGAGCUAUGAUCAAUUUAGAGGACUAAAUUUUCUUUUAAGGGGGGGAGAGUGUAAUAUCCCUCACUUUUAAAAAUUAUUAAUAAAGAUUUAUUUAUAAAUCGGAGGACCUAUAUGUAAAUACAAAAAUUUCA
This 296-nucleotide long non-coding RNA is filed under the name Musa acuminata (dwarf banana). Its description in RNAcentral is "long non-coding RNA (MACU_LNC004607)". Lineage: Eukaryota; Viridiplantae; Streptophyta; Magnoliopsida; Zingiberales; Musaceae. The record is from RNAcentral.